Molecule: ribosomal RNA, 465 nt
Filed under: uncultured Klebsiella sp.
Lineage: Bacteria; Pseudomonadati; Pseudomonadota; Gammaproteobacteria; Enterobacterales; Enterobacteriaceae
Description: bacterial SSU rRNA
Rfam family: Bacterial small subunit ribosomal RNA
Source: RNAcentral
CCUACGGGUGGCUGCAGUGGGGAAUAUUGCACAAUGGGCGCAAGCCUGAUGCAGCCAUGCCGCGUGUGUGAAGAAGGCCUUCGGGUUGUAAAGCACUUUCAGCGGGGAGGAAGGCGGUGAGGUUAAUAACCUCAUCGAUUGACGUUACCCGCAGAAGAAGCACCGGCUAACUCCGUGCCAGCAGCCGCGGUAAUACGGAGGGUGCAAGCGUUAAUCGGAAUUACUGGGCGUAAAGCGCACGCAGGCGGUCUGUCAAGUCGGAUGUGAAAUCCCCGGGCUCAACCCGGGAACUGCAUUCGAAACUGGCAGGCUAGAGUCUUGUAGAGGGGGGUAGAAUUCCAGGUGUAGCGGUGAAAUGCGUAGAGAUCUGGAGGAAUACCGGUGGCGAAGGCGGCCCCCUGGACAAAGACUGACGCUCAGGUGCGAAAGCGUGGGGAGCAAACAGGAUUAGAUACCCGUGUAGUC